This 497-nucleotide ribosomal RNA is filed under the name uncultured bacterium. RNAcentral describes it as "partial 16S ribosomal RNA". It matches the Rfam family "Bacterial small subunit ribosomal RNA", at positions 28 to 507 of the family's 1533-position model. The record is from RNAcentral.
GAUGAACGCUGGCGGCGUGCCUAAUACAUGCAAGUCGAGCGAACGGACGAGAAGCUUGCUUCUCUGAUGUUAGCGGCGGACGGGUGAGUAACACGUGGAUAACCUACCUAUAAGACUGGGAUAACUUCGGGAAACCGGAGCUAAUACCGGAUGAUAUUUUGACCCGCAUGGUUCCAAAGUGAAAGACGGUCUUGCUGUCACUUAUAGCUGGAUCCCCGCUUCAUUCGCUAGCUGUUAAGGUAACGACUUACCAAGGCAACGAUGCAUAGCCGGCCUGACAUCGCUAUUUGCGUCUCAUGAAGUGAGACGCCGUUCAGACUCCUACGGUAGACAGCCAUAGUAGUUCUUCCGCAAUGGUCCAAAGCCUCGCGGAGCAACACCGCGGCAGUGAUAAAGGCCUUACGAGCGUAAAACCCUGUUAUUAGGGAAGAACAUAUGUGUACGUAACUGUGAACAUCUUGACGGUACCUAAUCAGAAAGCCACGGCUAACUACGUG